AGCUUUGCGCAGUGGCAGUAUCGUAGCCAAUGAGGUUUAUCCGAGGUACGAUUAUUGCUAAUAGAAUUUUAAAGACAAACAG
Molecule: small nuclear RNA, 82 nt
Filed under: Fukomys damarensis (Damara mole-rat)
Lineage: Eukaryota; Metazoa; Chordata; Mammalia; Rodentia; Bathyergidae
Description: U4 spliceosomal RNA
Rfam family: U4 spliceosomal RNA
About the family: U4 small nuclear RNA (U4 snRNA) is a component of the major U2-dependent spliceosome. The structure of U4 snRNA from yeast and human has been reported. U4 snRNA presents a k-turn RNA motif in the 5p-SL related to recognition of Snu13 protein.
Source: Rfam by way of RNAcentral